Molecule: long non-coding RNA, 529 nt
Organism: Olea europaea var. sylvestris
Lineage: Eukaryota; Viridiplantae; Streptophyta; Magnoliopsida; Lamiales; Oleaceae
Exons: 2
Source: RefSeq, a predicted model, not a curated record
UUUUAAUGGAACAACAUAAAAAUCUGUUCCACUUGCAAAUACAUAAAAAUUCAAGUCUCACCAUCACCUAUUUGUGAAAAUUGUGCAUAUAUGAGGCCAUUGAAGAAAAAUGAAUGUGUCAUGCAUGAGAAGAUCGUGUUAAACAAUUUAAGCUUUUUAGAUGAGGCAGUUUAACAUGAGGGAGAGCAGUAACGAAGCCAUAUAUUGAAGCUAUUAAAUCACCUCGAGUAAUGAAGAAACGUUGGUGAACGAAUUAUCAAACUUCCAAACUAGAUUGCCGUGUGGAAGUCCCAAAUUCAGUUCUAGGCAAAAUGUAAAAGGAAGAUAGAGAACAAGAAAUUUACGUCGUUCAGCACUUUAGAUUUACGUCCAUUGGCAGAGACAAGACGAAUGUCACUACACAAAAGGGGAGAAUACAAAACAGUACUACAUACUGAAUCCUGAAACCGCGCCCACAAAGUAUAUACUAUGAGAUUAUAUUGAAAGUACUCAGACUGAAAUCUCCCAGCGAAAGCAUGUACACUAGGUA